This 253-nucleotide ribosomal RNA is filed under the name uncultured bacterium. RNAcentral's name for it is "partial 16S ribosomal RNA". It matches the Rfam family "Bacterial small subunit ribosomal RNA", at positions 524 to 776 of the family's 1533-position model. The record is from RNAcentral.
UACGGGGGGAGCGAGCGUUGUUCGGAAUCACUGGGCGUAAAGGGCGCGUAGGCGGCUGGAUAAGUCAGAGGUGAAAUCCCAGGGCUUAACCUUGGAAUUGCCUUUGAUACUGUCCGACUAGAGGGCGGAAGAGGAUAGUGGAAUUCCUGGUGUAGCGGUGAAAUGCGUAGAUAUCAGGAAGAACACCGGUGGCGAAGGCGGCUAUCUGGUCCGUUACUGACGCUGAGGCGCGAAAGCCAGGGGAGCAAACGGG